GACUGCUCCGGUGGCUGGUGGUAUCAUCGUCCGCUUUGAAUGCGAAAGGUUACGGGUUCGAAACCCGGCUGAGUCA
Non-coding RNA from Potamilus streckersoni, 76 nucleotides. Lineage: Eukaryota; Metazoa; Mollusca; Bivalvia; Unionida; Unionidae. The record is from the annotation of a GenBank genome assembly.